Molecule: long non-coding RNA, 3203 nt
Filed under: Monodelphis domestica (gray short-tailed opossum)
Lineage: Eukaryota; Metazoa; Chordata; Mammalia; Didelphimorphia; Didelphidae
Description: lncRNA (ENSMODG00000040852.1)
Source: RNAcentral
AUGCUCCUGUGGAGUCUGCAGUGGACGAAGCAUUCAGACAAACCCAGCCCGGACGGUCGGACGGAGCGCAGGGUCCGACCCUCCCAUUGCACGAAGGAAAAAGCGGAGAACCGGACGAGGGGACCGACGGGUUCUUCCAGGGGUCACUGGCAGCCCUACGGAGGGAACUCGGGGCUUAAUGAAAGCGCUCACUUCACAGUGGGAGAAGCUGCUGCAGCAUCCUUGGUAAGUAAGAACCAACCCCUCCCUCCAUCCACAAGAGUGUCAGCGAGCUGUUCCGCCGCUGUGGAGACCAGAGAGGCAGGGCAAGUGGAGGCGGCCUUUCCGAAGGCCCUGGAGGCGGGCUCGGUAAUUCAGCUCGGGGCUCCCGCUCCCCCCUGCCUCGGUGCCCGGACGUCCUGCACGGAAACAUUCCAGGGCCUUUAGGAGCGCGCUAAGUCCGGCCAGGGGCCUCCGCGCGAUGGCAGGGCCCCAAGCGAGGCUUUCUGCUAACAGGUUUAUCCUCCCCGAGCAUGUGACACCCCAUAAAAAGCUCCAUUUACAGCUUGGGGCUCCCGUGAACCGAGCGGCUUUAUUUACUUUCCGCAAAUACAGAAGUUGCAUUUUCAAAGCUUGAUUUAAAAUGCCAGAUAAAAUGGAAGCGAAAUCCAGAGCAUUAACAAGCCCCCGGGCUGGGGCCGCCCCGGGCGGACUCGGAAGCCAGGCGGCCCCAGCAGCCUCCAUUCUAAGGAGCAGCCACUGCUGCCGCCCGCGUCCUUUCCAUUAGCCUGGGCCAGCAGAGCAGCCGCAGGGGGGAGGCUGGGAAACGGGUCCCCCCCCACCAAGCAGGGGGCGGAGGAUCUGACGUCACUCGUGGUCCUCGAUGGGCCUGUUUGCAGAGCUCCAGCCUCAGGAGGCGGCCCAGCGCUCCUCUGGGGAGGCUUUCCCUUCCUCCACUUUCAAUAAGCCUUCUUGCAACUCCCAGCUGGGAAGGGACGACGGGAGGGAGGAGGCUUCCGGUUCUGCCUCUGGGACCAAACGAGGGUUAGAUCAAACCGAAUCCCUCCUCUCCGCCCGAGCGAGCCUGACACCUAAAGGCCUCCGCAUGGCUCCAGCUCGCCGCAGCCCACUCCAUCUCUCCCCGGGUCUCCUCUUCUUCAGACUGAGCCGCCCAGGUUCAUCAGCUGAUCCUCAGGGGACAUGACGAGGCCUUUGGCCAUCCGGGCUGUCCUCCUCUGGACACUCCCCAUUUUGUCAACGUCCUUCUUAGAGCCUGGGUAUUGUCUGCCCGGAGAGGCGCAGGAGGGCAUCCCCGACUCCUCCCUGGAGGCGGUGCCUCUCCAGCUGCCGCCUUCUUCCGAGCAAAGCCGCGGCCCUGCCUCCUCCGAGGUUGGCCGGAUCUCCGCCACGUGCGUCCGAAAACUGUCGCUCCUGGAAAGCGGUUUUCAGGUGGGUUGGGGGGGGGGGGGGACCCAAUUUUAGGACUUGACAUUUACUGCUCUUAAGUUCGCUCCGUUAGAUCUGACCCGGCCUUCGAGAUCUUGGGGGAUUGGACGCCGCCCCGCCCAGCUUUGUGGCGUCUGGAGUGGCCACGCUUCGAGAGACUAACUUUGUCUCCGUUAUUUCGCUGGCCAGGAAAUAGGACAGCAAAUGACAGAAGCUCCCACACACACACCAUCUUUGGGCUGUGACUACACACGUCUGGGAGACCCGAAACUCCAAGCCCCCACGGGAGAAGGCACUGUGGGGUCACGGGUGCCCCUGCCUUUGCUUCUGUCUUCCCUGAGGCUCCAUCUUUGUCUCCCAUGAGCCCGAGAGCAGCAGCUGGCCCGUCUGUGGACAGACUCUGCAUCCCAGCAGGCUUUGCCCUGCUGGACCAGGUCUAACCCCCAGGAAAUGCGUAAUGAGAAAAGUAAGGCUGAAAGGUGGCCGGUGGGUUUUUGUUAACUUCAGACAGGCCCAGUUAAAGGGCUUGGGGGGGGGGGGAAGGGGGGGAGGGGGGGAGGAGGUCAGAAGACUUGAGUUCCAAUCCCUUCUCUGCCUUCUCCUGGCUGGAGGAUGCCGGAAAAAUCACUUCCCUUUUCCUCCCUUCAGGCAACUCUCCAAGAGAAGGUCCUCCUAGCCACUUGCUGCAGAGCAUCACAGGGCUGGGUUCUCACCCUUGCUGAUAAAAUCCUGAGACUGGGUUUAGGGGUGGCAAUGACAAUGACAAGGACAAGGACAACAGCGAGGGCAGCAACAACAACAUGCCCCUCCCUCUGGCCUGGGCAGAACAAAUCUGGAGGAUUGUCUUCAGUUCUGACAUGUUAUGGUAGGCAUUGAUAAGCUGAAGUACAUCUGGCAUGGUGAAGUGCCUCUAGUUCAUGUCAGAAUUACAAUCAUUAUAAUCACAGCAGCUAUAAUUUAUACAGCACUUCCUAUGUGCCAGGCACUGUACUAAACACGUUUCACCAUGUAUUGUUUCAUUUGAUCCCCAUAACAACCCUGGGAGGCAGGUGUUAUGAUUAUCCCAAUUUUACAGAUGAGAAAACGGAGGCAAACAGAGGUGAAGUGACUUGCCCAGGGUCACACAGCUAGUAAGAAUCUGAGGUCAAAUAUUUGUUCAGGUCUUCCUGACUGCAGUCUAGUUGCUUAUCCAUUAGGUACCACCUUGCUGCCCCGUGUCACAUGGAGAUUUGUGAAAGGACCUGGAGAUGUGGUACCUUGGACAACAAAAGAGGCAGAGAAGACAAAGCAGCCGUUACCCUGUUUGAGAUGAACCAUAUUAGACCCUACCAGGCAGAAGUAGGAACAACCCAGACUGAAGGUACAAAAAGGCAAUUGUAGGCUUUACAUCAGGGAAAGCUUCCUGUCAAAUAGAAUUUUCUGAGAGUAGAACCGGAUGCCUAUAGUGGGUUUCCCCAUGGUGGAGGAAAUGGCCUGAAUGAAGCAUUGACUACUGCAUAAGUUCAUGAAGUAUAUUACCUUAGACUGUGCACUCAUUGAUUUUCCCCCCUUUUUAUCAGUAGAAUGUUAGAGUCAAAACACUCUUACAUAGCCCAGUCAAGGUGACUAUCUCUCUUAUUAUUUCUUUUUUGAUAAUUUUCCUUACAUAUUUUCAACUUGAGUCCUAAAGUAGUUAAAGGGUACAUUUUUACAUUUUCAUGUUAAAAAUUAGCUCAGAGCCCCCAUUCUAGUUCAUUAGCUAUCACCUAUUCAAUAAACUGGAGAAACUAUUUUUCCCA